Molecule: long non-coding RNA, 2935 nt
Organism: Fukomys damarensis (Damara mole-rat)
Lineage: Eukaryota; Metazoa; Chordata; Mammalia; Rodentia; Bathyergidae
Source: Ensembl
AUGCGCUCCUCACAAACACCCUCCUCCAGCAUCAGUGUGUUGAACAAGGAGACUGCACGUGCCUUACACGUCCAAGACAUUGCCUGUGUGAACUCCUGUGAGUUGGUAGUCCACAAAGCCAAGGCCCUCGUCCUUCGGGGACUACUCUACCCAGAAGACCCUGCGCCUCACGCCUGCAAAGUUCGACCAAUAAAAGAGCGUUUCCGUGCGAUCGAUGGGCGUCAAGGCGGAACUUCCGUCGCACACCUGGCCACAGUCAUCUUGGCCUUUCUAGUGUCUUGUCUACUCCGCGCUAUUCUUCAGCGGUCAGUGGAGCGCGAGAUAGUGAGCAGGACGAUCGGAGAGCCAGUGUUGUCCUUGCUGACGGAGGCGGUUCUGAGGAUUACCGGGGGUGCUGCUGCGUGACAACAGUUUCGGUAGAGUCUGCUUUUCCUGGCUUUACCCCCACUUACAGGCUUUGAUGGUGACUCUUGCCCGGAAGGACCUGGCUCAGGUUAGUAUUGCGUCCCCUAAACCGAUCUAAUCGGUCCAGACAUCCACCUCCCAAUCCUAAAGACCCUGAUGCUGCGCAGGCCCUCAUUUCUCUUUCAGUCAGAAGGUGGCGCGCUCCGGGUUGCCUUCCCCAUUUGUCGCUCGGCGAGCUGGAGAGUGGAAGGGGCCGGCGUGUGAAGAGUCUGGAGUUGGCAUUGAAUGCAGCUUUAGGGAACUUGAGGCCUGUCUUCUGUCUUUAGCAAAGAGAUUGCUUGGGGAUGAGUCACGCGUGGUUUGGCAGCCUGAGCAGGGGGUGGGGUGGGGAGGGAUGAGUCACACGUGGCUCGGCUCCCUGUGCGGUUAGGCCCACGUUCUGAGGACGCUGUGAUGGGGUCUCCUGGAGGGGGUAGGAACCGAGAGAUUCGCUGAAUUGAGAUUUUAAAAGAUUUCUGUAGGCUGCCAAGGACUGGGGAGAGGAGCAAUAGAGUGAAAGUUAAGAGACUUUGAGGAGGCUACGGCUGCAGACUCCUGGAUAAUGGCUGUGAUGUAGCCAGAGCCAGUGUCACCGGCUGCUGCAGGUCCUUGCGUCGCUGAUAAUGAAAGUUAAUGAUGAAGGAGGAAUUUGCAAGGCGGGGGAGAUUUAAUUGGACCGUAAGAGAAAAGUAAGGGACUUAACUAAGCUUGAGGAACUGACAAAGUUCUUUUUUGCUGGCCCCAUAAUGAAAAGAGAAUAUAGGCAAAGCCUUCACUUUUAGAAACUGAUAAUGGCACAGAUUUGAAGAGGUGGCUCAAAUUGGCCUAUAAAAAAACCAAGACAGGUUUUUUAAGAUUUUCUGGGUUGGGCUAGUGGCUGGUUGAUGCUGAUCUCAUGGCUUUGUCUGCGGAAUGGUCCCGGGAGAGGUCUUUUUACUUGAGGGGGCACUGAAGUUUCCAUUAGAUGAUUAUUUUUGUGUGGGGCAGUCUCAAUGUCGUAAGACUCUACUGAAAGACACAAUGACACUCAAUUUAGGGUGACCUACUUGGAAACUUGAUGACUUGGAGGCUUCUGGGCGCGGUCCAAUGUCCCUGUAAACCCCCAAUCUUAAUAGCACAGUCUUGAAAGGGGAUGGGAUUAUGUAAAUUCAGGACCAAUUGACAUGCUUUUCCAACCUUUAGAUUGACAAUUAACAUACCUAUAUACAGCGCUGAAAGGGGACUUGCCCCAAAGUUUUAAGAUAACAAAGGUUACAAAACAAAGGUCAAGCUUUGUUCUACUUUUAGUUACCUAGUCAAUGUUUGGGGUUUGUUUUGUUUUUUACAAAAACAUUUGUUUUAAGUCCCUGACUGCUGCUUCAGAAGAAAAUACGAAGUGUGCUGUCACUGCACAGGGCCCAAGGAGGUCACCAAAGCAGAGAUGGGGAACUUCAGCGCACCUCACCCAUGGGACAGGUUAUAGGUUCGAUAACUUCCCUAACAGAAAAAGAAUUUCCAAGAUGUGUCAGUGGGUGGUAUAAAGGCAGAAUUAAACAGGUACACAUUCAGAAUAGUGUUUGGGCCCUUGAGAGGCACACGGUGGUUAAGAGUAAGGGUUUUUAUGUAGACUUAGGGAUGUUCUCAAAUGGGUAAUCUUGGAUGUAUAUGCCUACCAUCUGUCAGGUUACUCAACUGGCAGGCUGUGUUAGAAUGCAAAUCUCCUGUGUUUGAGGUUGAGAUAGGCUCAUUUUCUGUGGGGGAAAAAAGUGUAAUAUACAGGUGACAAUCACAAGCCCAGGCUUAAUGUGUCUUUAAGAUCCUUAGGAAAAAGGUGUGUGUGUGUGGGGUUGAGUUUCCUGGAAAGGAAAAAGGCUCGAGCAACUUUUGUGUCCUGAAACUGCAGUUUUUCUUAAUAGUUUUGUUUGUUUUUGAGAAAGAGGCUAGCUGUGUGGUUCAGGCUGGCCUUGAUCUCAUUAUGUUUCCCAGGCUGGCCUCAAACUCCAGGCGAUCCUCCUGCCUCAGUCUCCCAAGUGCUGGGAUUACAGGCGUGUGCCAUCACACCUGGCUUUGACAGUUUCAACAUUACAAUUGUCACCGGCUCCUUUUUACCUUCUACCCCCCUCAAUCUGGGAGUUGAACCCAGGGCCUUCACACUAAGCUAUAUCCCCAGACCAUUUCUUUGUUUGAGAGGAGUCUCCCUCUAUUACCAAGGCUGGAGUUGAAUUUUGAAUCCUCCUACCGCAUUCUCUCAGAAUGCUGAUAUUGCAAGCUGGCACCUCCAUACCUGGUUUAUAUUGGCAUUUUGUUUGUUUUUUUGGUACUGUUUGCAAGGUAGGCAGCGGCACACUGAGCUAAGUCCCCGGCCCUAUAUUAGCAUUUUUAUUGUUUUGGGAGACCUAUACAAAAGCCAGAUGUUUACCCAAGGGACAAAUACGUUCCUUGGUGGGGACACAUGAGAAUAUAAUAAGAUAGGUUGAAGGACAUAUUUUUGGAACAUCUAGUAGUAUUCGGA